AGCAAAGGUAUGGAGCCAGACAUGGCAUGUUCAAUGAUCCAAAGGCUUGCUGAGGAUGGAUAUACAGUUGGAACUUUACAUGCUGAUAAUGAUGCUACUACUCAAUCAAGACUACCUCGUUCAAUAAUAAAAAAAGAUGAUAAAACACAUGUGAAGAAAAAUCUCUCCAAACGUCUCUAUGGUCCUUCAAAAAACUACAAACAGUUAAAGUCAGCAAAAGUCAUCCCCUACAUAGUGAGGUG
Molecule: long non-coding RNA, 242 nt
Filed under: Mytilus galloprovincialis (Mediterranean mussel)
Lineage: Eukaryota; Metazoa; Mollusca; Bivalvia; Mytilida; Mytilidae
Source: RNAcentral